Molecule: ribosomal RNA, 497 nt
Filed under: uncultured bacterium
Lineage: Bacteria
Description: partial 16S ribosomal RNA
Rfam family: Bacterial small subunit ribosomal RNA
Source: RNAcentral
GAUGAACGCUGGCGGCGUGCCUAAUACAUGCAAGUCGAGCGAACGGACGAGAAGCUUGCUUCUCUGAUGUUAGCGGCGGACGGGUGAGUAACACGUGGCUAACCUACCUAUAAGACUGGGAUAAAUUCGGGAAACCGGAGCUAAUACCGGCUGAUAUUUUGCACCGCAUGGUUCAAAAGUGAAAGACGGUCUUGCUGUCACUUAUCGGUGGAUCCGCGCUGCAUUAGCUAGUUGGUAAGGUAACGGCUUACCAAGGCAACGAUGCAUAGCCGACCUGAGAGGGUGAUCGGCCACACUGGAACUGAGACACGGUCCAGACUCCUACGGGAGGCAGCAGUAGGGAAUCUUCCGCAAUGGGCGAAAGCCUGACGGAGCAACGCCGCGUGAGUGAUGAAGGUCUUCGGAUCGUAAAACUCUGUUAUUAGGGAAGAACAUAUGUGUAAGUAACUGUGCACAGCUUGACGGUACCUAAUCAGAAAGCCACGGCUAACUACGUG